RNAcentral lists this unclassified non-coding RNA (211 nucleotides) under Hevea brasiliensis (rubber tree). Lineage: Eukaryota; Viridiplantae; Streptophyta; Magnoliopsida; Malpighiales; Euphorbiaceae. The record is from RNAcentral.
AUGGAGUUCCACAACAAAGAAAAAUGGAAGAGCACAGAAUACGGAUAUCCAGUGAAUGGCUUCAAGGUCUAUCCAAGGGUUCAAGUCACGAACUGGAGUUGUUCUCUCUCCAUGGCCUGAAAAUUGUGCAGGCGCAUCGGGGUUUUAUACGCUGUAAUUUCGUGGUCUCCAAUCGCAUAUCUGAUGGACAUGGGAAUUGGCAUGUGGGCGC